RNAcentral lists this ribosomal RNA (396 nucleotides) under Dictyocha sp. RNAcentral describes it as "partial small subunit ribosomal RNA". It matches the Rfam family "Eukaryotic small subunit ribosomal RNA", at positions 582 to 975 of the family's 1831-position model. The record is from RNAcentral. Lineage: Eukaryota; Dictyochophyceae; Dictyochales; Dictyochaceae.
AUUCCAGCUCCAAUAGCGUAUAUUAAUGUUGUUGCAGUUAAAAAGCUCGUAGUUGGAUUUCUGAUGGGAUCGACCCGGUCGGCUCCGAAAGGGGUCGCACUGGUGGUCUGUCCGGUCAUCCUCGAGGGGAGGCUUUCUGGCAUUCAUUUGUUGGGGAGUCGACGCUCGUCGUUUACUGUGAACAAAUUAGAGUGUUCAAAGCAGGCUUAGGCCGUUGAAUACAUUAGCAUGGAAUAAUAAGAUAGGACUUUGGUGGUUUAUUUUGUUGGUUUGCACGCCGGAGUAAUGAUUAAUAGGGACUGUCGGGGGCAUUCGUAUUUCAUUGUCAGAGGUGAAAUUCUUGGAUUUAUGAAAGACGGACCGCUGCGAAAGCAUUUACCAAGGAUGUUUUCAUUA